GGGCCUAUAGCUCAGUUGGGAGAGCGUACGGUUCGCAUCCGUAAGGUCGUCGGUUCGAUCCCGAUUAGGUCCACCA
RNAcentral lists this transfer RNA (76 nucleotides) under Bacillota bacterium. RNAcentral describes it as "tRNA-Ala". It matches the Rfam family "tRNA". Rfam says of the family: Transfer RNA (tRNA) molecules are approximately 80 nucleotides in length. Their secondary structure includes four short double-helical elements and three loops (D, anti-codon, and T loops). The record is from RNAcentral. Lineage: Bacteria; Bacillati; Bacillota.